AAAUUUUUAGUUUAAAAAAAAAUUUUAAAUUGCAAAUUUAAAGAUAUAAAAAAUAUAAAAUUUU
Molecule: transfer RNA, 64 nt
Filed under: Diadromus collaris
Lineage: Eukaryota; Metazoa; Arthropoda; Insecta; Hymenoptera; Ichneumonidae
Description: tRNA-Cys
Source: RNAcentral